This 452-nucleotide ribosomal RNA is filed under the name uncultured bacterium. RNAcentral describes it as "bacterial SSU rRNA". It matches the Rfam family "Bacterial small subunit ribosomal RNA", at positions 340 to 786 of the family's 1533-position model. The record is from RNAcentral.
UACGGAAGGCAGCAGUGGGGAAUAUUGCACAAUGGGCGCAAGCCUGAUGCAGCCAUGCCGCGUGUAUGAAGAAGGCCUUCGGGUUGUAAAGUACUUUCAGUCGUGAGGAAGGUGUUAAGGUUAAUAACCUUAGCAAUUGACGUUAGCGACAGAAGAAGCACCGGCUAACUCCGUGCCAGCAGCCGCGGUAAUACGGAGGGUGCGAGCGUUAAUCGGAAUUACUGGGCGUAAAGGGCACGCAGGCGGUUAAUUAAGUUGGAUGUGAAAUCCCCGGGCUUAACCUGGGAAUGGCAUUCAAGACUGGCUAGCUAGAGUCUUGUAGAGGGGGUAGAAUUCCAUGUGUAGCGGUGAAAUGCGUAGAGAUGUGGAGGAAUACCGGUGGCGAAGGCGGCCCCUGGACAAGACUGACGCUCAUGUGCGAAAGCGUGGGGAGCAAACGAGGAUUAGAUACC